Molecule: non-coding RNA, 104 nt
Organism: Pteropus alecto (black flying fox)
Lineage: Eukaryota; Metazoa; Chordata; Mammalia; Chiroptera; Pteropodidae
Source: Rfam
AUCCUUUUGUAGUUCAUUAGCAUGAUGAUUGCAUGUUCAUGCUGUUGUGUGAGAUGUGCCUCCCUCAAACCUUGUUACGACAUCAGCACAUUACCCAUCUGACA